AUUGAACGCUGGCGGUAUGCCUUACACAUGCAAGUCGAACGGCAGCAUGGAAGAGCUUGCUCUUCUGAUGGCGAGUGGCGAACGGGUGAGUAAAGCAUCGGAACGUACCGUGUAGUGGGGGAUAACGUAGCGAAAGUUACGCUAAUACCGCAUACGCACUGAGGUGGAAAGCAGGGGAUCGCAAGACCUUGCGCUAUACGAGCGGCCGAUGUCAGAUUAGCUAGUUGGUAGGGUAAAGGCCUACCAAGGCGACGAUCUGUAGCGGGUCUGAGAUGAUGAUCCGGCACACGGGGAAUGAGACACGGCCCAGACUCCUACGGGAGGCAGCAGUGGGGAAUGUUGGACAAUGGGCGAAAGCCUGAUCCAGCCAUGCCGCGUGGGUGAAGAAGGCCUUCGGGUUGUAAAGCUCUUUCGGCUGGGAAGAAAUCGCACAGGCUAAUACUCUGUGUGGAUGACGGUACCAGCACAAGAAGCACCGGCUAACUACGUGCCAGCAGCCGCCGCAG
RNAcentral lists this ribosomal RNA (506 nucleotides) under uncultured bacterium. Its description in RNAcentral is "partial 16S ribosomal RNA". It matches the Rfam family "Bacterial small subunit ribosomal RNA", at positions 30 to 523 of the family's 1533-position model. The record is from RNAcentral.